RNAcentral lists this ribosomal RNA (269 nucleotides) under uncultured prokaryote. RNAcentral describes it as "partial 16S ribosomal RNA". It matches the Rfam family "Archaeal small subunit ribosomal RNA", at positions 474 to 743 of the family's 1478-position model. The record is from RNAcentral.
UACCCGUGCCACGAGUGGUAACCGUGUUUAUUGGGUUUAAAGUGUUCGUAGCCGGUCUGACAAGUUUUCAAUGAAAUUCCACAGCUAACUGUGGAGCUUGUUGGGAAUACUGCCAGACUUGAGACCGGGAGAGGUCAAGGGUAUUCCAGGGGUAGGGGUAAAAUCCUGUAAUCCUUGGAAGACCACCUGUGGCGAAGGCGCUUGACUAGAACGGAUCUGACGGUGAGGGACGAAAGCUAGGGGAGCGAAGCGGAUUAGAUACCCGCGUA